Passer domesticus (house sparrow) is the source of this 347-nucleotide long non-coding RNA. RefSeq lists it as uncharacterized. The transcript has 3 exons. NCBI's taxonomy places the organism in Eukaryota, Metazoa, Chordata, Aves, Passeriformes, Passeridae. The record is from RefSeq and is a predicted model, not a curated record.
AUUUGAUGAGAUUGAGGCUAGUCCUUACUCCACUGUUGUACAUAUCAAGAAUUAUGUCAAAGGAGAGUUUGGGUCUUGGCUUUCAGCCAGAACAUUGAUGAAGACAAAGUGCAGAAUAAGAAGGCCAAGAGUGACAGCAGCUUCCUUGCAUUCCAAAUGAGCAGCCCUUGAGAGAAUGAGAAGGAUUCAAGUCAUUGCAAUGGGUACAAUCCAUGACAGGAGUGUAAUUUCUUCUGAGCUAAGUUCCUGAAUAGAAACCUAAAGGCUUGGCCCUAACAGCCCUCUUCAAGUCAGUCAAUUUGUGCUGAUGUAACUAAUGAGAUGUCUGGACCCAUCGUCAUGAAAAG